RNAcentral lists this ribosomal RNA (482 nucleotides) under uncultured bacterium. RNAcentral describes it as "partial 16S ribosomal RNA". It matches the Rfam family "Bacterial small subunit ribosomal RNA", at positions 28 to 507 of the family's 1533-position model. The record is from RNAcentral.
GGCGAACGCUGGCGGCGUGCUUAACACAUGCAAGUCGAACGAUGAAGAAGAGAAACGCGAACUUCGGUUCAAAUUUCACUUCGGAUUAGUGGCAGACGGGUGAGUAACGCGUGAGCAACCUACCUCUUACAAAGGGAUAGCCUCGGGAAACCGUGAUUAAUACCAUAUGACACAUUCACAAGGCAUCUUAAGAAUGUUAAAGCUACGGCGGUAAGAGAUGGGCUCGCGUCCCAUUAGCUAGUUGGUGAGGUAACGGCCCACCAAGGCGACGAUGGGUAACCGGCCUGAGAGGGUGAACGGUCACAUUGGAACUGAGACACGGUCCAAACUCCUACGGGAGGCAGCAGUGGGGAAUAUUGCACAAUGGAGGGAACUCUGAUGCAGCGACGCCGCGUGAGCGAUGAAGGAAUUCGUUUCGUAAAGCUCUGUUCUAUGGGAAGAAAAGGACUGUACCAUAGGAGAAAGCCCCGGCUAAAUACGUG